This 406-nucleotide ribosomal RNA is filed under the name uncultured prokaryote. RNAcentral describes it as "bacterial SSU rRNA". It matches the Rfam family "Bacterial small subunit ribosomal RNA", at positions 355 to 776 of the family's 1533-position model. The record is from RNAcentral. RNAcentral also lists the same sequence under 1 other name.
UGGGGAAUAUUGGGCAAUGGGGGCAACCCUGACCCAGCGACGCCGCGUGAGGGAAGACGGCCUUCGGGUUGUAAACCUCUUUUGUACGGGAAGAAGGAAGUGACGGUACUGUACGAAUAAGUCCCGGCUAACUACGUGCCAGCAGCCGCGGUAAUACGUAGGGGACGAGCGUUGUCCGGAAUUACUGGGCGUAAAGGGCGCGCAGGCUGUGCUGCAAGUCAGCUGUGAAAUGUCUGGGCUUAACCCGGGCAUGCGGUUGCGACUGCAGUGCUGGAGUGCUGUAGAGGCAAGUGGAAUUCCCAGUGUAGCGGUGAAAUGCGUAGAUAUUGGGAAGAACACCAGUGGCGAAGGCGACUUACUGGGCCGUAACUGACGCUGAGGCGCGAAAGCGUGGGGAGCGAACAGG